Molecule: ribosomal RNA, 394 nt
Filed under: Salmonella enterica subsp. enterica
Lineage: Bacteria; Pseudomonadati; Pseudomonadota; Gammaproteobacteria; Enterobacterales; Enterobacteriaceae
Description: bacterial SSU rRNA
Rfam family: Bacterial small subunit ribosomal RNA
Source: RNAcentral
AAGUCGGAUGUGAAAUCCCCGGGCUCAACCUGGGAACUGCAUUCGAAACUGGCAGGCUUGAGUCUUGUAGAGGGGGGUAGAAUUCCAGGUGUAGCGGUGAAAUGCGUAGAGAUCUGGAGGAAUACCGGUGGCGAAGGCGGCCCCCUGGACAAAGACUGACGCUCAGGUGCGAAAGCGUGGGGAGCAAACAGGAUUAGAUACCCUGGUAGUCCACGCCGUAAACGAUGUCUACUUGGAGGUUGUGCCCUUGAGGCGUGGCUUCCGGAGCUAACGCGUUAAGUAGACCGCCUGGGGAGUACGGCCGCAAGGUUAAAACUCAAAUGAAUUGACGGGGGCCCGCACAAGCGGUGGAGCAUGUGGUUUAAUUCGAUGCAACGCGAAGAACCUUACCUGG